UUUCGCAAUGCCCGAAAGGGUGACGAAGCGACGCCGCGUGGGUGAAGAAGGCCUUCGGGUUGUAAAGCCCUGUCAGGAGUUAUGAAAUGUAGGUGCGAUAAUACCGUGCCUAUUUGACAAAGGCUCCAAAGGAAGCCACGGCUAACUCUGUGCCAGCAGCCGCGGUAAUACAGAGGUGGCAAGCGUUGUUCGGAAUUAUUGGGCGUAAAGAGCACGUAGGUGGAUUUGUAAGUCAGGUGUGAAAGCCUCCUGUUCAACGGAAGAAUUGCAUCUGAAACUACAAACCUUGAGUGUAGGAGGGGAGAAUGGAACUUCUGGUGGAGCGGUGAAAUGCGUAGAUAUCAGAAGGAACGCCGGCGGCGAAAGCGAUUCUCUGGCCUAUUACUGACACUGAGUGUGCGAAAGCUAGGGGAGCAAACGGGAUUAGAUACCCCGGUAGUCCUAGCCGUAAACGAUGGGCACUAAGUAGAGGGGUUUU
Molecule: ribosomal RNA, 478 nt
Filed under: uncultured Planctomycetales bacterium
Lineage: Bacteria; Pseudomonadati; Planctomycetota; Planctomycetia; Planctomycetales
Description: bacterial SSU rRNA
Rfam family: Bacterial small subunit ribosomal RNA
Source: RNAcentral